CUACGGGGUGCAGCAGUGAGGAAUAUUGCACAAUGGGGGGAACCCUGAUGCAGCAACGCCGCGUGGAGGAUGACGCAUUUCGGUGUGUAAACUCCUUUUAUAUGUCAAGAAAAUGACGGUAGCAUAUGAAUAAGCACCGGCUAACUCCGUGCCAGCAGCCGCGGUAAUACGGAGGGUGCAAGCGUUACUCGGAAUCACUGGGCGUAAAGGACGCGUAGGCGGGUUGGAAAGUCAGGUGUGAAAUCCUACAGCUUAAAUGUAGAACUGCACUUGAAACUUCUAAUCUAGAGUAUGGGAGGGGGAGAUGGAAUUAGUGGUGGAGGGGUAAAAUCCGUAGAUAUCACUAGGAAUACCUAAAGCGAAGGCGAUCUCCUGGAACAUUACUGACGCUAAGGCGUGAAAGCGUGGGGAGCAAACAGGAUUAGAUACCCGAGUAGUC
This 439-nucleotide ribosomal RNA is filed under the name uncultured bacterium. RNAcentral's name for it is "partial 16S ribosomal RNA". It matches the Rfam family "Bacterial small subunit ribosomal RNA", at positions 339 to 795 of the family's 1533-position model. The record is from RNAcentral.